UCAAAUUUUGUUUUAAUAAUUAUUAGCCACCAACACAAACGAGAAAAACGUUUUGGUUCCAGACCAUAGAAUUCCAGUUGAUGUUGGAGGAAUGAAAGAUCAUGUCAACCAAUAAUGAACUAUCAGAUACUCAGCGUAUGUUAUUGCAUGCCAUUAUGUUUUCGAGUCUUCUAUCCACUCUUUGUGAUGGAAUUUUUAGUUAUGACUUAUGUGGACCAUGUCAAUCAGAGUUGUUUUGUUGGCAGAGGUUAAAAAUUGUUAUCUUAAUUUGUAUAGAUGUUUGCAUGAUUGUAG
Molecule: non-coding RNA, 294 nt
Organism: Paramuricea clavata
Lineage: Eukaryota; Metazoa; Cnidaria; Anthozoa; Malacalcyonacea; Plexauridae
Source: the annotation of a GenBank genome assembly